CAAGGCAGCUUGUGGCGAGCUGUUGGGCAGUGGCGACCCCACGGACCUGACUCCCGGGAGAGGCCCUACUUUUUAACUCCGGUUAGUACUCGUGACUAUCCGGAGUGGCCUCUCCUACCUCACUCUUGCCUUAAUCGGCUGGUUUGAGUGGAGAUUCGCAAGAGUGGAGUUGCCUUCAGCUCCACUUGGGGGAAGGACGUAUCCCAGUAAGAUGCUGGUAGGGGUCUUGACCGUACUUCCGGGAUUGCUCUGAUAGCCGUGGGAUGCCCCCCCUUCCUCAAGCAGCUCAACGGAUGUUGCUUCCCUUGUCGCUACAUGCUAGCGGCCGUUUCCGGGGGCCCACUAUUGAGUUUGCGAGUCACCCCCUGCCUGUUUAUCCGUAUGUAUCAAUAUUGGUCAGGGGCAGGGGCCAUAGUCCCCAUAGUUAACCGGUUAACUAUUCCACAGCCACCCACACCCAUAUCCCUAUCAUUUCCUUUUACCAUAUCUCGCAAUAGUCCUGCAUCAACCGGGGAUUGUCCUUUGGUGUACUUCCAUAGUGCAUACAGGGAUAAUCGCCGGCUGAUGUCCCAUUACAUUUAGAUCAAAAUUGUUCAACGGGCCUCUGCGAGUUGGGUUCGGCCCCUCGUACGCCUUCCAAAGGUCCGGGACCCUGUGGUCCCGAGAUUAUGUAAAGAACAGACAUAAUAAUAAUAAGUCCGCAAGGCAGCUUGUGGCGAGCUGUUGGGCAGUGGCGACCCCACGGACCUGACUCCCGGGAGAGGCCCUACUUUUUAACUCCGGUUGGUACUCGUGACUAUCCGGAGUGGCCUCUCCUACCUCACUCUUGCCUUAAUCGGCUGGUUUGAGUGGAGAUUCGCAAGAGUGGAGUUGCCUUCAGCUCCACUUGGGGGAAGGACGUAUCCCAGUAAGAUGCUGGUAGGGGUCUUGACCGUACUUCCGGGAUUGCUCUGAUAGCCGUGGGAUGCCUCCCCUUCCUCAAGCAGCUCAACGGAUGUUGCUUCCCUUGUCGCUACAUGCUAGCGGCCGUUUCCGGGGGCCCACUAUUGAGUUUGCGAGUCACCCCCUGCCUGUUUAUCCGUAUUUUUCAAUAUUGGUCAGGGGCAGGGGCCAUAGUCCCCAUAGUUAACCGGUUAACUAUUCCACAGCCACCCACACCCAUAUCCCUAUCAUUUCCUUUUACCAUAUCUCACAAUAGUCCUGCAUCAACCGGGGAUUGUCCUUUGGUGUACUUCCAUAGUGCAUACAGGGAUAAUCGCCGGCUGAUGUCCCAUUACAUUUAGAUCAAAAUUGUUCAACGGGCCUCUGCGAGUUGGCUUCGGCCCCUCGUACGCCUUCCAAAGGUCCGGGACCCUGUGGUCCCGUGAUUAUGUAAAGAACAGACAUAAUAAUAAUAAGUCCGCAAGGCAGCUUGUGGCGAGCUGUUGGGCAGUGGCGACCCCACGGACCUGACUCCCGGGAGAGGCCCUACUUUUUAACUCCGGUUGGUACUCGUGACUAUCCGGAGUGGCCUCUCCUACCUCACUCUUGCCUUAAUCGGCUGGUUUGAGUGGAGAUUCGCAAGAGUGGAGUUGCCUUCAGCUCCACUUGGGGGAAGGACGUAUCCCAGUAAGAUGCUGGUAGGGGUCUUGACCGUACUUCCGGGAUUGCUCUGAUAGCCGUGGGAUGCCUCCCCUUCCUCAAGCAGCUCAACGGAUGUUGCUUCCCUUGUCGCUACAUGCUAGCGGCCGUUUCCGGGGCCCACUAUUGAGUUUGCGAGUCACCCCCUGCCUGUUUAUCCGUAUUUUUCAAUAUUGGUCAGGGGCAGGGGCCAUAGUCCCCAUAGUUAACCGGUUAACUAUUCCACAGCCACCCACACCCAUAUCCCUAUCAUUUCCUUUUACCAUAUCUCACAAUAGUCCUGCAUCAACCGGGGAUUGUCCUUUGGUGUACUUCCAUAGUGCAUACAGGGAUAAUCGCCGGCUGAUGUCCCAUUACAUUUAGAUCAAAAUUGUUCAACGGGCCUCUGCGAGUUGGCUUCGGCCCCUCGUACGCCUUCCAAAGGUCCGGGACCCUGUGGUCCCGAGAUUAUGUAAAGAACAGACAUAAUAAUAAUAAGUCCGCAAGGCAGCUUGUGGCGAGCUUCCGCAAGGCAGCUUGUGGCGAGCUGUUGGGCAGUGGCGACCCCACGGACCUGACUCCCGGGAGAGGCCCUACUUUUUAACUCCGGUUGGUACUCGUGACUAUCCGGAGUGGCCUCUCCUACCUCACUCUUGCCUUAAUCGGCUGGUUUGAGUGGAGAUUCGCAAGAGUGGAGUUGCCUUCAGCUCCACUUGGGGGAAGGACGUAUCCCAGUAAGAUGCUGGUAGGGGUCUUGACCGUACUUCCGGGAUUGCUCUGAUAGCCGUGGGAUGCCUCCCCUUCCUCAAGCAGCUCAACGGAUGUUGCUUCCCUUGUCGCUACAUGCUAGCGGCCGUUUCCGGGGGCCCACUAUUGAGUUUGCGAGUCACCCCCUGCCUGUUUAUCCGUAUUUCAAUAUUGGUCAGGGGCAGGGGCCAUAGUCCCCAUAGUUAACCGGUUAACUAUUCCACAGCCACCCACACCCAUAUCCCUAUCAUUUCCUUUUACCAUAUCUCACAAUAGUCCUGCAUCAACCGGGGAUUGUCCUUUGGUGUACUUCCAUAGUGCAUACAGGGAUAAUCGCCGGCUGAUGUCCCAUUACAUUUAGAUCAAAAUUGUUCAACGGGCCUCUGCGAGUUGGCUUCGGCCCCUCGUACGCCUUCCAAAGGUCCGGGACCCUGUGGUCCCGUGAUUAUGUAAAGAACAGACAUAAUAAUAAAUAAUUAAUAA
Long non-coding RNA from Spodoptera frugiperda (fall armyworm), 2829 nucleotides. RefSeq lists it as uncharacterized. The record is from RefSeq and is a predicted model, not a curated record. The transcript is spliced from 2 exons. Lineage: Eukaryota; Metazoa; Arthropoda; Insecta; Lepidoptera; Noctuidae.